AAACUUAAAGGAAUUGACGGGGGCCCGCACAAGCGGUGGAGCAUGUGGUUUAAUUCGAUGGUACGCGAGGAACCUUACCAGGGCUUGACAUACGUUGGAAGCGCAUCGAAAGGUGCGUGCCGCUUGCGGCCGGCGUACAGGUGCUGCAUGGCUGUCGUCAGCUCGUGCUGUGAAGUGUUGGGUUAAGUCCCAUAACGAGCGCAACCCCUACUGCUAGUUGCCAGCGGGUCAUGCCGGGGACUCUAGCGGAACUGCCAGCGUAAGCUGCGAGGAAGGUGGGGAUGACGUCAAAUCAGCACGGCCCUUACGUCCAGGGCUACACACGUGCUACAAUGGCCGGUACAGAGCGCAGCGAGGCCGCGAGGCGGAGCGAAUCGCUUAAAGCCGGUCCCAGUACGGAUUGGAGUCUGCAACCCGACUCCAUGAAGUUGGAAUCGCUAGUAAUCGCGCAUCAGCAUGGCGCGGUGAAUACGUUCCCGGGCCUU
RNAcentral lists this ribosomal RNA (485 nucleotides) under uncultured Spirochaeta sp. Its description in RNAcentral is "bacterial SSU rRNA". It matches the Rfam family "Bacterial small subunit ribosomal RNA", at positions 897 to 1382 of the family's 1533-position model. The record is from RNAcentral. Lineage: Bacteria; Pseudomonadati; Spirochaetota; Spirochaetia; Spirochaetales; Spirochaetaceae.